CAGUCGCCACGGGAAUACGAAGGGUGCAAGCGUUAAUCGGAAUUACUGGGCGUAAAGCGUGCGUAGGCGGUGAGUUAAGUCUGCUGUGAAAUCCCCGGGCUCAACCUGGGAAUGGCAGUGGAUACUGGCUCGCUAGAGUGUGUCAGAGGAUGGUGGAAUUCCCGGUGUAGCGGUGAAAUGCGUAGAGAUCGGGAGGAACAUCAGUGGCGAAGGCGGCCAUCUGGGACAACACUGACGCUGAGGCACGAAAGCGUGGGGAGCAAACAGGAUUAGAUACCCCCGUAGUCCCUGUCUCUUAUAC
Molecule: ribosomal RNA, 301 nt
Filed under: uncultured bacterium
Lineage: Bacteria
Description: partial 16S ribosomal RNA
Rfam family: Bacterial small subunit ribosomal RNA
Source: RNAcentral